AAAUUUUCUUCUUUCAACAAAUUUGGUAUUGAAACUCUAUGAUGUAAAUCCUAAAACUUCCAACGAAUUAUAAGACUUGAUAUGACUAAUUUUUUUCUGAACACUACAGAGUACUACUGUUAAAUUAAUUGUAUUAUGUGCCCUUAAUUUGUGAAGGUGGCAUCAAAUUGGCUUCUUGCUUUUACUCUUACUGCUAACAUUUAUGCUUUGUGCAGGCUACUUUUAAGCACCUGAAAG
RNAcentral lists this unclassified non-coding RNA (237 nucleotides) under Hevea brasiliensis (rubber tree). The record is from RNAcentral. Lineage: Eukaryota; Viridiplantae; Streptophyta; Magnoliopsida; Malpighiales; Euphorbiaceae.